This 878-nucleotide ribosomal RNA is filed under the name uncultured eukaryote. RNAcentral's name for it is "SSU rRNA". It matches the Rfam family "Eukaryotic small subunit ribosomal RNA", at positions 570 to 1467 of the family's 1831-position model. The record is from RNAcentral.
GCAGCCGCGGUAAUUCCAGCUCCAAUAGCGUAUACUAAAGUUGUUGCGGUUAAAAAGCUCGUAGUUGGAUCUUGGAAUGUGUUCAAGCGGGUCAGCUUCUGGCUGUGCGCUGCUUGACGUGUUCUUCUAUUUGGUUUUGGUGCGGUGCGCUUAACUGCGUGUCGCUCCCGGCCGAAACGUUUACCUUGAAAAAAUUAGAGUGUUCAAAGCAGACCUGUUUGAGUCUGAAUAUUCGUGCAUGGAAUAAUGAAAUAUGAAUUCGGUUCUAUUUCGUUGGUUUUCGGAACUCGAGUUAAUGAUCAAGAGGGACAGACGGGGGCAUUCGUACUCUGCCGUUAGAGGUGAAAUUCUUGGAUCGGCGGAAGACGCGCAACUGCGAAAGCAUUUGCCAAGAAUGUUUUCUUUAAUCAAGAACGAUAGUCGGAGGUUCGAAGACGAUCAGAUACCGUCCUAGUUUCGACUGUAAACUAUGCCAGCUAACGAUCAGACAGAGUUCUCUACGACUUGUCUGGCAGUUUCCGGGAAACCAAAGCGUUUGGGUUCCGGGGGAAGUAUGGUUGCAAAGCUGAAACUUAAAGGAAUUGACGGAAGGGCACCACCAGGAGUGGAGCCUGCGGCUUAAUUUGACUCAACACGGGGAAACUCACCCGGCCCGGACACAGUGAGGAUUGACAGAUUGAGAGUUCUUUCUUGAUUCUGUGGGUGGUGGUGCAUGGCCGUUCUUAGUUGGUGGAGCGAUUUGUCUGGUUAAUUCCGAUAACGAACGAGACUCUGGCAUGUUAAAUAGUCGCGGAAGUGCGUAUGCACUUGCCGAGUUGACUUCUUAGAGGGACUAGUGAUUUUAAUUCACACGAGAUUGAGCAAUAACAGGUCUGUGA